CCACCAGCGCACUCCAUCAUUGAAGAGCUGAGUCCGCGCUGCAUUGAGGAUGCCGCGCGCUUUCUGCUUUGCUGCGCAGGUGCUCCUGACUAGGCGGCUACGCGGCGGAAGCCCUUUGCGCGCAUCCGUGCGCUCACUGCUCAGCUCGUCCAGCACGACCGCUGCUGUCACGUCGUCUGGGACAGCAAUGGUUGGACUCGAAGGUGCUCGCCACUACGCCAUCCUCGCAGCUUCGAGCACUUUGUUGCGCGCUCCGGCCUCGGGAUCGGCGUCGCACUACCGACCCUUCUCGAGUGAAGAUGAGGCGGCGCUGGCUUCUGUGCUGUCGAGCAAGCCGCGCCAUGUCGCGCGCCACAUCCGACAGUCGAUGCUCUACUCGCGGCGCCGCAUCGCCCAGUUCCGGAACGCCGUGACGUACCUCAUGAUUUCACUUCAAUCGAAGCUGCAGCGCCAAGAGAUGCGGCCCGAGGACGCCACCGCGAUCAUGGAAAGCCUUAUGCGUGAGUGCGUCGACCUCCGUCAGGGCGACAUGGCCCACCUUCUCUUUCGCGCUGCUAUUCGGUUUCGCAAGUAUGGGCUCAAGAUCAGUUUCCCGUUUGUGCGGUACCUGUACGAGUCCUACAAGCGAGAGAGCGCCAAGGAGCUGAUGCGCAGCAUGGCCGAGGAGCUAAAGACGCAGGACGAGAUGAAAGUGCUGGCGGUGCUGGCGUAUCAGUUCAGUGGCCAACGAGACGAGAGCGUCGCCUUGUGGGAGACGGUGCCGAAAGAAAAGGUUACUACAAACGACUACUGUGCCGUGCUGGACGGUAUGGGGAUGACCGGCUGCUUCAACGACGUCGUCGACUUUGCCGAGCAAGUGAUCAAGGACGUCAUCGCAAAGCGGCGGCAUGGCAUCGACCUGCACGCCGUGGUGUCGCACGCGACAAUCGCGAGUCGCGGCAGCAGUGCCGCUCUGCACUCUGUCGUCCGCCUUGCGAAGGACCACCAGCUCACUCUCUCCGACAGCGCCGUCGGCGCACUUGCACGGUCGCGACUGCAGGAGAGGAGCGUGACGUCGAUGGCGGAUGUGUACAAGGUCGAGGCGGCACUGUGUGCCGAGCUCAACCGCGUGUCGCUGGGAAUGGCGGGUGACUCCGCUAUCAUCGCGAAGUCGAGCGAGCUCAUGGCGCGCAACCACGAAACGGGCGAUGACGUGAUACUGCAAAAGGUGGGGCACCUCCGCCGCAUGGUGGAGGACGCCAUCACGAAUGACGCGAUGGACGACCUCCCUCCUCUCUUCGCGUCGUCGCUGCUCCGCGGCUUCGGCGUUUUGGGGCGAUUUGAGGAGAUGCGCCAGUGCUUUGAUCUCCUCGACAAGGCCGGCGCCGUGAAGGACCACAAACUCUACGAUGAGAUGCUGCGAUGGUACGCCCACGCGUACAAUGUCAAAGAAGUAAUCGCCCUGAAAGAAGAAAUGACCCGCAAGGAGGUGUACCACACGACGCAAACGUACCAGAACGUCUUUCGUGUCCUGGACCGUUACUAUCCCCGGCUCGUGGAGAAGUAUCUGGCAGAGAUGCGCGGCCGAGGCAUGCAGGUGGACGGCUCCAUGUACCCGACGCUGGUGCGCGUGUUUCAUGCGCUCAGCGACCACGCCAAAGUCGAGGAGCUGUUCCGAGAGGCGAAGCGGAAGGCGGAGAAGGGGGCCACGUACAACAUGAGUCCGUCGCUCAUUGUGCAAAUGCUCCGCUGCUACCCAAAGGACAUCGUCCGCGGCGACGCGAUCGUGCGUGACGCCGAGCAGUACGGCCUCCUCGUCAACGAGACAGUGCAGGCAGAGGUGCUGAAUUACUACGCAAUGAACGACCGGCCCGACGCGAUGGAAGCCUUCAUGGCGCGGCUACCAUACAAGACGGCGAACGUGUACCGUGUGCUGCUGCGCAAUGCAACGCAGCACCGCAACCGCGGGCAGUUCAACGCUGUCUUGAAGGAGAUAGAGACGAAGCAGGUGCCGUUGAAUGAGCGGCUCUUCAGCGUCAUCGUGACUUCGCUGGCCCACUUCCAGGACAGGGAAGGGGUCCGCGAAUACGUGCAUAAGGCGCUAGGGAGCAACCAGAUCCACACGCCACUCUUUUUCGCCGACGUCGCGUCGGCGUUCGAGAGACUCGGCGACGCAGACGCGGUGGACCAGUGCUGGGCGGGCCUUCUCGAAAGCAAGAUGACUGUGACGAUGCCGGUGUACAAUCGCUUCCUUGACGUGUACAUGACGCUCAACAACAUGGCGAAAGUUCAGGAAAUUUUGGACACAAUGAUGAAGCUGGUGCCGCCGAAUCCGGUGACGGCCACGACGGUGGUGGACAUGCUGGGUAAGAUGGGGCGCCUGACCGAGAUGGAGGCGAUCCUCGAUGAAAUGUCCAAGUCUACAAACGCUGUGCCGACGCUGGUUACGUACCACCAAGCCAUGAACGCUUACGCAAAGUGCGGGGACGUGGCCAAGAUGGAGGCCGUGCGCGAAAAGCUGAAGCUGGAGGGCUUUCAAGAGAACGCCGUGACAUACAACAUUUUGUUCGAGGGCUACGGCCGGGCAAAGCGGUUCGAGCACCUGCUGGAGCUUGUGGAGGAACGCAAGGAGCGUGGGAUUCCGAUGGAGGAGUUCGGCUACGUUGUGCUGCUUAACACGUACGCCCGGGCCCGCAUGCCCGCCGAGGCCGAGGCACUGGUGGAUGAAAUGGUGAGUGGCAGCACCGUCGUCUUGAGCAGUCGCUUGCUUGCCACCGUCGCGUCCACCUUCAGUCACAUCGGCAACGCCGAGCAGAUGCAGCGGUACAUCUCGUUGCUGCUCUCGCACCCCGAUUGCCGGGUGCGAGACGUCGAGUCUGUGUACAGCAUCUACGCGCGCUUGAGAGACACCGUCAAGUUGCAGGAGCUGCUGGACGCUGCAAAUCUGCCGAAGACCCCCCUCAUCUACAAUACCUGCGUCAGCGCUUUUGCCCGCGCUGGCGAGCAUGCGAAAGUGGCGUUUCUUUUGACCGAGAUGGAGAAGCAGGGAUUCGCCUUGAGCCGCAACACGAGCAUCAUUCUGAGUAGUCUGCUGCUCAAGGCGGGCAAGCUGGAGCUGGCACAGACAGUGCUGAAGUGGAAGGGGCUGACUACAGCAGACGUGGAGUCGGGCAGGGGCGCUUCCACCAAUGGCGCAGCGGCGUUUUCGUCGCCCGCACAUGGCGACACUCCCUCGUGCCCUUCGGCGGAGGAGGCCGGCGAAGUGGAUGCCGAAGAAGCAGACCUAUUGCUGCGAGACAUGGAUGACCACAUGGUUGGCCGCACCCACGACGUCGAGAGCGACGAGCCCAUGUGCAGGUGAUGGGGACAGAGGUGUCGCUGUCGAGGCGGAUGUGGAGCGGGGAGGGGGUGGGGAUCGGCAAGCGGUAAAGGCUUACCGGUUUUUUUUUUUGAAGCGGCGCGCAUUCGUUGUUUGGACAGCGGUGUGGGUCUCCUUUGAUGUCCGUCCACGUUUUACGCAAGCAUAGCUCCCGUGCUCUCGAGCGCUAUCUGGUUAUGGUUUCUUGUGGUGAACACCCUCACAGAUGCCACUAGCUAUUCGAUCAGCGUUUCCCUUGCGGAAGCCUGCGGGUAUCAGGCGUUUUUGUGCUGUCUGUGCUGAGGCAGUCGAUGUCACACCGAGGUGACGUUCGGCGGCGCAAGUGGAUCCUUGCGCGUUGAGCUUUCGUGCACUUGCGGACACCACGGGGGCGCAAUGGCGCAGCUUGCUCGCAUCAUUGUCUUCGAUUGACAAGCUGAAGACACUGAUUUUUUUUUUGUGUUGUUGAUGGGGCCCUCCCCCA
Molecule: unclassified non-coding RNA, 3821 nt
Filed under: Leishmania donovani
Lineage: Eukaryota; Euglenozoa; Kinetoplastea; Trypanosomatida; Trypanosomatidae
Description: gene:LdHU3.35.3870(CDS-product:PPR_repeat/Pentatr icopeptide_repeat_domain_containing_protein_putative)
Source: RNAcentral